GACGUAGGGCGCGAGCGUUGUCCGGAUUUAUUGGUCGUAAAGAGCUCGUAGGCGGCUUGUCGCGUCGACCGUGAAAACUUGGGGCUCAACCCCAAGCCUGCGGUCGAUACGGGCAGGCUCGAGUUCGGUAGGGGAGACUGGAAUUCCUGGUGUAGCGGUGAAAUGCGCAGAUAUCAGGAGGAACACCGAUGGCGAAGGCAGGUCUCUGGGCCGAUACUGACGCUGAGGAGCGAAAGCGUGGGGAGCGAACAGG
RNAcentral lists this ribosomal RNA (253 nucleotides) under uncultured bacterium. RNAcentral's name for it is "partial 16S ribosomal RNA". It matches the Rfam family "Bacterial small subunit ribosomal RNA", at positions 524 to 776 of the family's 1533-position model. The record is from RNAcentral.